GUGGAUGAGGGAGCGGGCGGAGGAGGAAGUGUCAUGGCGUCGGGCCGUGGAGCUUCUUCUCGCUGGUUCUUUACUCGGGAACAGCUGGAGAACACGCCGAGCCGCCGUUGCGGAGUGGAGGCGGAUAAAGAGCUCUCGUACCGCCAACAGGCGGCCAACCUCAUCCAAGAAAUGGGACAGCGUCUCAAUGUCUCCCAGCUUACAAUAAACACCGCGAUUGUUUAUAUGCACAGGUUUUAUAUGCACCAUUCUUUCACCAAAUUCAGCAGAACUAUAAUAUCGCCUACUGCAUUAUUUUUGGCUGCAAAAGUGGAAGAACAGGCUCGAAAACUUGAACAUGUUAUCAAAGUAGCACAUGCUUGUCUUCAUCCUCUAGAGCCACUGCUGGAUACUAAAUGUGAUGCUUAUCUUCAACAGACUCAAGAACUGGUUAUACUUGAAACCAUAAUGCUACAAACUCUAGGUUUUGAGAUCACCAUUGAACACCCACACACAGAUGUGGUGAAAUGUACCCAGUUAGUAAGAGAUCUUUGGGGGAUAGCAAGAAACAUUUGAGUGAAUGUUGUUGAAGAUUUUCAGUAGUAUAGAAAAUGAUGGCGCUCUUGUGAUAUUUCAAGCAAGGAUUUGGCACAGACAUCCUAUUUCAUGGCUACCAACAGGUUGUUAUCCUGACCCUCUUUGUUGCACUGUUGUAGCACACUAUAGCUUCCUUUAAUGCAGGGCCCCCUCAAUGUGUCUCUUACCCUUGUUGCAACAGGAGACUGGACCAUCUACUGUGGUGGUACCUUCCUGUUUGCUUUGCGGUGUAUUGUACAAGGGACUUUGGGCACAGAGGGGUUAAAUGCACAAUGUGAAGUGUAGUGGUGCUUUCUGAUGACAUAUUCUCGAUUUGUGAGUGCAUAAGUCUAAAAUUGGUAGCCUGAAUAGCAGCUAAAGAUUACAAAGAGCUAAACUUAACGUAGAAAUUCGAGCAACUUGUCUGCAUCUUACAACCUUCUGUCUUCAGUACAAACCAACAGUGAUAGCAUGUGUAUGCAUUCAUUUGGCUUGCAAAUGGUCCAAUUGGGAGAUUCCCGUGUCAACUGAUGGAAAGCAUUGGUGGGAAUAUGUGGAUCCUACAGUGACUCUAGAAUUAUUAGAUGAGCUAACACAUGAGUUUCUACAAAUAUUGGAGAAAACACCUAGUAGGUUGAAGAAGAUUCGAAACUGGAGGGCUAGUCAGGCAGCGGCUAAGAAACCAAAAGUAGAUGGACAGGUAUCAGAGACACCACUUCUUGGUUCAUCUUUGGUCCAGAAUUCCAUCUUAGUAGAUAGUGUCACUGGUGUGCCUACAAACCCAAGUUUUCAGAAACCAUCUACAUCAGCAUUCCCUGCGCCAGUACCUCUAAAUUCAGGAAAUAUUUCUGUUCAAGACAGCCAUACAUCUGAUAAUUUGUCAAUGCUAGCAACAGGAAUGCCAAGUACUUCAUACAGUUUGUCAUCACACCAGGAAUGGCCUCAACAUCAAGACUCAGCAAGGACAGAACAGAUGUAUUCACAGAAACAGGAGACAUCUUUGUCUGGUAGCCAGUACAACAUCAACUUCCAGCAGGGACCUUCUGUAUCACUGCAUUCAGGAUUACAUCACAGACCUGACAAAAUUUCAGAUCAUUCUUCUAAGCAAGAAUAUACUCAUAAAGCAGGGAGCAGUAAACACCAUGGGCCAAUUUCUGCUACUCCAGGAAUAGUUCCUCAGAAAAUGUCUUUAGAUAAAUAUAGAGAAAAGCGUAAACUAGAAACUCUUGAUCUUGAUGUAAGGGAUCAUUAUAUAGCUGCCCAGGUAGAACAGCAGCACAAACAAGGGCAGUCACAGGCAGCCAGCAGCAGUUCUGUAACUUCUCCCAUUAAAAUGAAAAUACCCAUUGCAAAUACUGAAAAAUACAUGGCAGAUAAAAAGGAAAAGAGUGGAUCACUGAAAUUACGGAUUCCAAUACCACCCACUGAUAAAAGCGCCAGUAAAGAAGAACUGAAAAUGAAAAUAAAAGUUUCCUCUUCAGAAAGACACAGCUCUUCUGAUGAAGGCAGUGGGAAGAGCAAGCAUUCAAGCCCACAUAUUAGCAGAGACUAUAAGGAGAAGCACAAGGAGCAUCCCUCAAACCGCCACCACACCAGCAGUCACAAGCAUUCCCACUCACAUAGUGGUGGCGGCAGCGGUGGCAGUAAACACAGUGCUGAUGGAAUACCACCCACUGUUCUGAGGAGUCCUGUUGGCCUGAGCAGUGAUGGCAUUUCCUCUAGCUCCAGCUCUUCCAGGAAGAGGCUACAUGUCAAUGAUGCAUCCCACAACCACCACUCCAAAAUGAGCAAAAGUUCCAAAAGUUCAGGUAGUUCAUCUAGUUCUUCCUCCUCUGUUAAGCAGUAUAUAUCCUCUCACAACUCUGUUUUUAACCAUCCCUUACCCCCUCCUCCCCCUGUCACAUACCAGGUGGGCUACGGACAUCUCAGCACCCUCGUGAAACUGGACAAGAAGCCAGUGGAGACCAACGGUCCUGAUGCCAAUCACGAGUACAGUACAAGCAGCCAGCAUAUGGACUACAAAGACACAUUCGACAUGCUGGACUCGCUGUUAAGUGCCCAAGGAAUGAACAUGUAAUAAUUUGUUUAGGUCAAUUUUUCCUUUACUUUUUUAGUUUAAAAAUUGUUAGAAUGGAAAAAUUCCUCCUGAUCUAGCAGUGGCAACACCUGCCGUUGCUGCCACUGCUUCAAUAUUUGUAAGUGCUGCUUUAUUCUUCAUUCUGAAAAGAAGAGAUUAUAGUAAACAAGUCUUUAUCUCCACAUAUGAUAGUGUUAUAAAUACUGUAAAAGCAUGGAAGGUGCAAAACUCAGUAUUUCUACAAUUGCAGCUAAGAACAUUAGGAUGAAUGGCUGGCUGCUUCUAGGAAUAUAAGAUGCCUCAAGCAUUCGUUAUUUAUGAUUUGAAUAUUGUAGCUAUUUUCCGUUGUUGUUGCUUGGCUUUUGAAUGAGUGUAAAUUGUUUUUUUUUGUGUAUUUAUACUUGUAUGUAUGAUUUGCAUGUUUCAAUGAUAAAGGGAUAAAACAGUAUACUGACAACUGUUUACAAGAAAGUGGAGAAAAAUGUACAUACAUUUUUGUAUGUUUAGAUAUUACCAUAAAUACUCAGGAUUGGAGCUGCUUGUAAGUAUAACAAUAUACAGAAUAACUUUAUUUUAUCUUGUCAGAGUCCAUCACUAAUCUAAAACAAAGGUGGCACUUUUUUAUGUUAACCUUAAACUCUAGGCCUUACUGGAAGCCACUGAUAGGGGACACUUCACUACCAGAUGCAUAUGCAGUGCCACAGAUGGUCAUUUAUACUGUGAGGCACUGAAAUUUUGCCUUCAGAGGUUCUGACCAGAUUGGCUGCUGAAAUAGCCCCUAACUUUCUGAAGGCUUGAAGAGGAAAAAAUAAAGUUUACAUACUCUUGAUGUGAAGUGCAUUUAAAUGUUUGUUGGCUUGUUGCAGUUCUAUGAAACAGAGCUGUUAAUAAUGGUUAUGUGGAUUACUGUGAUUAGAAAACUAAAUUCACAAUAACUUAACCUAGUAGAGAUAUAGUGAGUUGUUUCCUUUAAAGAAUUUUACACUACAUAUUUUAACACUAAACAGGGAUCACUUUUCCUUUAGCAUUCAGAAUGACACUAUAUUCUUAAAUAUACCCCUCCCCUGAAGUGUUUGUGUGUGAUGCCAUAUUUCUUUUUCAGGUAAAUGUAGUCUUCCUUAUAAAACAAAUUAAACCUAUUCUCUCUCAAUUCUUUUAUAUUCUAACAAUAAAUAAAAAUGAAAAGAGCACUGACUGUGCAUUAUACCUGUAUUUAUAGUUUAUGGUUAUCAGGAAGCUCUGUAAGAAAGAAAAGGUCAGCCUCCCAGGCAAACCACGAGUGGAGGUUUUACAUUUGUUUGCACAUCUCCGUAUAUUUCUGUUGAGGUAAAGUUUGCACAGUCAUCUGACUUCUGAUCAAACAUUAGAUUUUAAAACUUGUUUAGAUUUUGUCUUAAACACCAGUAAUAUGGCUCUUGUUUAUCAGCUAAUCUUGAAUUUAUUCUGUGGUAAAUCUUUGAGUUGUUGAGUACAGUUGAGAUGGGUUGGAUUCAACCUCCGUUGAACUGAAAACUUAAUUUCUUCUCUGUAUGAAUUAUUUUUGUUACAAAGCCACUAAUAUGUGCACAAUUGUAAUUUUACUCAAGUAUGUUGCAGUUGUAAAUAUUAGAGUUUAAUCUUGUGCUCUACCUUUAUUUAGCAAUUACCUAAUUUGCCAGUAGCUUUAUAAUUUUUAAAGAUAAUUGUUCAUUAUUUUGUCAAUGUUAUUUGAACUUGAGGUACUUAGGAGCCUCUUUGUGUAGGGACUGUGCCUAGGUAGCAUGUCCUAACAUUUGUUCUUGUCUUGCAUAACUUUGGUAAUCUUUGUCAUUAUAUGUAACUUUGUUGCUCUGUAUGGCAAAAUAUUGUAUCCAUAAACAUGGCAAUUUUGAUACAGUUAUACUUUUACAGUGGUACAUAAUCCAAGGACUAGUAUAGAAUUAAGCUGAGUGCAAGAUGAGGGAGGGAAGGGUUUUCUUGGUAAUUUAGAUGUGAAACCUCUACAGAGCUAUCAUGUAAAAACUACGUAAGGUGGUUGUGCUACUGUAUAAUUGGGGUGAUAAUACCAGGAAUUUUAAUAAGAUUUUGUAAAGACUAUCCAGAAAAGUAGUGAACUUAUUUUCAAUAGACAUAGAAAACAAUGUGAAUAUUUAAGGUCUGUGACUAUAGUUAAACUUCACUAAGAAUUUGCAGAAUUGUUUUGAGAUGUGGGAAUAAAGGUAAUUUUGUUGAAUCUUCAUUGGUGCUAAUGAUGGACAGUUAAAAAGAUAGCUAGUGUAUAUUGUUAUGGGUCAGUACUUAUUAGUACUUCCAAAAUUGAAUUUGAAAUGCUAUGUAUUCACUUUUCACUCUGUAAAUGUAAUUCUUUACAAUGACUUUAUUUAUUAAAGGGCAGCCAGUUGUCAUUUUUACAGGAUUGUGUGAGCUAUUCAAACUCUUUAACCCCUGAACAGGAUAUUAAGCUUCCAAAAUAAUGAUGGAGAUAAAUAUGGAAAUCCAUUUUAAGUUUCAUUUCCAUUAAACAAAAACUCUUAUAAUUCAUACUAUCAUGGAUUUGCUUUAUCCAUCUUAUUUGCGUAACAGUUCAUCUGCCUGGUCCCAUUAGGCUCUACCAAAGAAAAAGACUCUGAUGAAUGGACAUUAUUACUGUGAGUCUUCUUAUAAAUGGCCAUAAAUAAACCAAAAUAGUAUCCUCAAAUUUAGGUAUGAAAUUCCACAUGUGCAAAGUACUGUUAAGGUGACAACAUUUUUGAUGAGAUUUAAAAAAAAAAAAAACAUUUGAAAUAUUAAAAAGCAUUAUCUUUAAACAUCCUAUAAAAGAGUGAGUCAUUUUUAAGUUGUGUUUUCCCUAGAUCACAGAUUUGUUACCUUUACACAAAAGCACAUUGCAAAGGCUUUACUUCUACCUCUUCCAGCUAGUUUUCCAGUAUUGAGCUGUGCCCCCCUAAAUAUUUGCCUUAGCUAUUUUAAAAUAUGGUAUUUUCAGACCAAAGCAAACGGGUGUUUGUUCACUGAAACAUUCUUAGAGGCCUACUUAACAAAACAGGCAGUAGCAUCCUUUAGUGGUGAAACCUCAGUUUCUUAGUUGCAGGUAUAUAAAUAUCAAAAAAAGUCCUGUUGUCAACCCUGGGUUUAUCUUUGAAAGCAGUUCAAUGUGCACCUUGGUCUUCCUCUUUGUGUGCUGAUUCAUCCUGGUUAAAGUUCUUAUUCAGUCAUCUAAAGGAAAUUUCUAACAAUGUAUGGUUUCUUGAAUGAGUGGCUGCUUAUAUUACUUUGUAGCAACAGAUUGUAUUAUGUAGAAUACCUAACUUCUGGCCUAUCCUCUUUGAACUAGAAAAGACUAAUUGAGGUCUGCUUCUGAGAACCAAUAUGAAAUGUUUUCGGUAGCAUCAGAUACCCUUGCCUUAAAAGAUUUCAAGCACAUUUUCUUUUAUAUUUGAGAAUUUAAAUUGCUGACUUGUAUUCCUUAAGCAACCUUAGAAAUAAACCACUGCUUAUAUCUGCAUGAAUAUUACGCACUUCAUGAGUACACUUAGUUGAUUAGAUAUUUCAGAUUUUGCAUCUACUAUAGACCUGGGGACUUUUUUUAACAUCUUAGGAAGACAGUUCUCUCACGAUACUACUCCAUUUCCAGUUUUUAUCCAAAUGAAAAGCAUACCUGCUUAAAUUGUUAAGUGAUUUUUAGGAUGUCUUUGCUGAGAAUAUUUGGAGGCUCUUGUUAGGAAGAAUCAUUGAUUAUUUCUCCUGAUUUCUGCUUCAGAGACUUUCUUGGGAGGCAGUAGGAUUCGAUGACUACCCAGAUGGGGGAUCAAAAAAUCUCACACUUGAAUUAAGUGAGUUCACAGGAUAACAGGUGCUAAUCUCAUGUGCCCCAAGAUGGGCUUAUUUAGACAGGGAUUUCUGCAUUGGAAAAGCAGCACAUUCUCUGGCCUUGGAUACCAAGCUAUGAUACUAAUGUGUUAAUUUGAGGAUCACAUUCUGAUAAUAACAAAUAAGUGAGCCAUCUAAUUGCUGUAAGCUGACAUAUAUGGAACCAAAAUCAAAGGUUUUAUUUUAAAUUUCGCUGGAACAUCUCUUUUUAAUAAAUCCUGCCAGUGGGACUGAAAAGCUCAAACGAUUUUCGGCCUAAUACUAUACAUUCGUUUUCUACCCUGCAGUGUCGAUUUGGGAACAGCCCGUUUUUGCCUCUGCCCCACCUUCUUUCUAUAAUUUACUGUUUACCUAUUCUGCCUGACAGAUUCCUUAAGUAGGUUGAUAAGCAAGAUACCUCGAAGACUGGCUAGGAGUAAUUCUGUUCUCAUAUAGGCAACUUAACAUUCACUGUGGAAUCUAUUAAUCUCAAAAUGUUGAGGCCUGUCUGAUUUCCUUUAUUUUCAAGUUCGGGGCGGAAACUCAAAACUCCCGAGCAUUGUCACUUGAGGAGUUUGUUUAAUUUGAUUUGCCUAUUGCUUAAUAAGGAGUACAUUCUUAUUAAGUGAUGAGUACAUUCUUAUUUUUCAUGCAUGUUUUUUUCAAGCAGCUUCAUUUUAUUAGAAAACUUCCUAUGUACUCAUUUGUUGUAAACAGUGAUUGUGGGGUUUCAUUUUCUGAAUGUACUCAAAACUCCCAACAACAAUUGAAUAGGAUGUUUGCUAAUAGAAAAUCUGAAACAGGAAUAUGUGUAUAUGGCAUGAAUUAGUCAUUGACUUUUAUCUAUACAAGGAACUAAUAAAAUUUGUUUAUUCACAACAUAAA
This is an RNA transcript of Cebus imitator (Panamanian white-faced capuchin), 7345 nucleotides long. It is a transcript of the gene named cyclin T2, with no coding region annotated. NCBI's taxonomy places the organism in Eukaryota, Metazoa, Chordata, Mammalia, Primates, Cebidae. The record is from RefSeq and is a predicted model, not a curated record. The transcript has 10 exons.